GAUGAACGCUGGCGGCGUGCCUAAUACAUGCAAGUCGAGCGAACAGACGAGGAGCUUGCUCCUCUGACGUUAGCGGCGGACGGGUGAGUAACACGUGGAUAACCUACCUAUAAGACUGGGAUAACUUCGGGAAACCGGAGCUAAUACCGGAUAAUAUAUUGAACCGCAUGGUUCAAUAGUGAAAGACGGUUUUGCUGUCACUUAUAGAUGGAUCCGCGCCGCAUUAGCUAGUUGGUAAGGUAACGGCUUACCAAGGCAACGAUGCGUAGCCGACCUGAGAGGGGGAUCGGCCACACUGGACCUGAGACCCGGUCCAGACUCCACGGGAGGCAGCAGUAGGGAAUCUUCCGCAAUGGGCGAAAGCCUGACGGAGCAACGCCGCGUGAGUGAUGAAGGUCUUCGGAUCGUAAAACUCUGUUAUUAGGGAAGAACAAAUGUGUAAGUAACUAUGCACGUCUUGACGGUACCUAAUCAGAAAGCCACGGCUAACUACGUG
RNAcentral lists this ribosomal RNA (496 nucleotides) under uncultured bacterium. Its description in RNAcentral is "partial 16S ribosomal RNA". It matches the Rfam family "Bacterial small subunit ribosomal RNA", at positions 28 to 507 of the family's 1533-position model. The record is from RNAcentral.